RNAcentral lists this long non-coding RNA (1308 nucleotides) under Chinchilla lanigera (long-tailed chinchilla). Its description in RNAcentral is "lncRNA (ENSCLAG00000023073.1)". The record is from RNAcentral. Lineage: Eukaryota; Metazoa; Chordata; Mammalia; Rodentia; Chinchillidae.
GGCUAGUUCAAUCAAGGAACUGGAUUUUUUUAGUAUUAACUAAUUUAAAGUUAAGUUUAAAUAGCCACAUGAGCUGCAAGAUGCUGUAUUGAAUAGUACAGUUCUAGAGUGUUAUUGAUAAAGCCUUCUUGAGAAUUUUAACUCAUAUAUUUAUACAUAUUCAUUUAUUAUAUCUAUAAAUAUUUACUGGGUUCUUUAUUUGUUCCAGGCACUGAGAAAAUAAUGGUCAGCAAUGCUAUCAGAGGCCCUACCUUCACAGAGUUUUCAUAGUCUCAUGGAAUAGACACCAAUCAAAUAAUCAUAUAGCUGGUGGGAAUUAAAACUAAAGAUUAGAGUUUAUCCCAUGUGGCUGACUUCUGUGAGGAUAACCAGGCUUUACAACAUCUUUAAAGUCUUCUGAUGUCCCCCAAGGAAAUGACCUGUGACCUGGGAUCUGAAAAACAUUUGGUCUUAUGAAAGGAAUGGAUUUUGUCAGUUGACACUACAGAGAUCAAACAGGGAACCUCAGAGUUCUCACUUCCAACAGCUGCCAUGUGACCAACAUGGAAACCAAGAAAGGAAAAAAGGAAGCUAAGGAUGAGGGCAGGCCAAGAUUUCCCUUUCCUUUCUGAGUUCCUCUUCUAGCACAUGAAACUGUGGAAGCAAGAUUGAGUGACAUCAACAUCUUUAGUGAAAAGGAAACAGAAAUGAAUGGAAUUAAGAGCCUGCAUCUACCUGAGUCAGCAAAUGCAGUGUGGGCAUCCUGUAGCUAACUUCAUGGAAGCAUCACCUGGAUUCAGCCUCAGGUCAAAUGUUUAAAAAGUGAGUGAGGCUUCUUCAUUUUAUCUUCCCCAACCACAAGAUGGAAAUAAACUGGGUCUUUGAAUGAUGAAGAAAGCUGCCUACACCCAAGAAAUACUAGCAUUGAAUUAUUAUAUAAGUGGGAAAAAAUUACAUUGUUUAGUAGACUGUAUUACUGAAGAACAAAUCAUUAAGCCAGUGGACCACCCUUUUGCUUUAUUGAGUGUUGGACUUCUCCUGUCAAAGUUCUUGGCAGACUCUGAAGAGGAUGAUGCCAUCCAUCUCAAGGAAGACUCUGAAGCCAUGCCCUAGGAUCACGGGAACCUUGCUGAGAAUCACUAAUGAUGUCUGCUUUUGGAGAAGACUGGAUGACGAAGAAGAAAGAUUCACCCUUUAGUGCUGCGUGAGAUUUUAUUUAAACUUCACAUGGAGAUUGCAGACCUAAAAAAAGCCUUAAGUUCAGCUUAGUUUUACAUAUAAAAAUAUUUUAAAAGUUUUGUAAAAACACAGUCCAAUGAUAAAUCCCUU